GAUGAACGCUGGCGGCAUGCCUAAUACAUGCAAGUCGAGCGAACAGACGAGGAGCUUGCUCCUUCGACGUUAGCGGCGGACGGGUGAGUCACACGUAGGUAACCUACCUAUAGGACUGAGAUAACUUCAGGAAACCGGAGAUAACACCGGUCAAUAUUUCGAACCGCAUGGUUCGAUAGUGAAAGAUCUCUUUGCUGACCCUUAUUGAUGUUCCUGAGUCGUAUUAGCUAGUUGGUAAGGUAACGGCUUACCAAGGCAACGAUCCGUAGCCGACCUGAGAGGGUGAUCAGCCACACUGGAACUGAGACACGGUCCAGACUCCUACGGGAGGCAGCAGUGGGGAAUCUUGCACAAUGGGCGAAAGCCUGACCGAGCAACGCCGCGUGAGUGAAGAAGGUCUUCGGAUCGUAAAACUCUGUUAGUUGGGAAGAACAAAAGUAUGAUAAACUGUUCACGUCUUGACGGUACCUAAUCAGAAAGCCCCGGCUAACUACGUG
This 497-nucleotide ribosomal RNA is filed under the name uncultured bacterium. RNAcentral's name for it is "partial 16S ribosomal RNA". It matches the Rfam family "Bacterial small subunit ribosomal RNA", at positions 28 to 507 of the family's 1533-position model. The record is from RNAcentral.